RNAcentral lists this ribosomal RNA (440 nucleotides) under uncultured bacterium. RNAcentral's name for it is "partial 16S ribosomal RNA". It matches the Rfam family "Bacterial small subunit ribosomal RNA", at positions 338 to 795 of the family's 1533-position model. The record is from RNAcentral.
CCUACGGGUGGCAGCAGUGAGGAAUAUUGGUCAAUGGACGCAAGUCUGAACCAGCCAUGCCGCGUGAGCGAUGAAGUAUUUCGGUAUGUAAAGCUCUAUCAGCAGGGAAGAAAAUGACGGUACCUGACUAAGAAGCCCCGGCUAACUACGUGCCAGCAGCCGCGGUAAUACGUAGGGGGCAAGCGUUAUCCGGAUUUACUGGGUGUAAAGGGAGCGUAGACGGUCCUGCAAGCCAGAUGUGAAAGCCCGGGGCUCAACCCCGGGACUGCAUUUGGAACUGUAAGGCUAGAGUGUCGGAGAGGCAGGCGGAAUUCCUAGUGUAGCGGUGAAAUGCGUAGAUAUUAGGAGGAACACCAGUGGCGAAGGCGGCCUGCUGGACGAUGACUGACGUUGAGGCUCGAAAGCGUGGGGAGCAAACAGGAUUAGAUACCCGAGUAGUC